CUACGGGGGGCUCCAGUGAGGAAUAUUGCACAAUGGGGGGAACCCUGAUGCAGCAACGCCGCGUGGAGGAUGACGCAUUUCGGUGUGUAAACUCCUUUUAUAUGUCAAGAAAAUGACGGUAGCAUAUGAAUAAGCACCGGCUAACUCCGUGCCAGCAGCCGCGGUAAUACGGAGGGUGCAAGCGUUACUCGGAAUCACUUGGCGUAAAGGACGCGUAGGCGGGUUGGAAAGUCAGGUGUGAAAUCCUACAGCUUAACUGUAGAACUGCACUUGAAACUUCUAAUAUAGAGUAUGGGAGGGGGAGAUGGAAUUAGUGGUGUAGGGGUAAAAUCCGUAGAUAUCACUAGGAAUACCUAAAGCGAAGGCGAUCUCCUGGAACAUUACUGACGCUAAGGCGUGAAAGCGUGGGGAGCAAACAGGAUUAGAUACCCCCGUAGUC
RNAcentral lists this ribosomal RNA (439 nucleotides) under uncultured bacterium. RNAcentral's name for it is "partial 16S ribosomal RNA". It matches the Rfam family "Bacterial small subunit ribosomal RNA", at positions 339 to 795 of the family's 1533-position model. The record is from RNAcentral.